AGAGUUUGAUCCUGGCUCAGGAUGAACGCUGGCGGCGUGCUUAACACAUGCAAGUCGAACGAACCUUCGGGUUAGUGGCGGACGGGUGAGUAACGCGUGGGAACCUGCCCUCAGGAGGGGGAUAACGGUUGGAAACGGCCGCUAAUACCCCAUAUGCCGAGAGGUGAAACGAAUUUCGCCUGAGGAUGGGCCCGCGUCUGAUUAGCUAGUUGGUGGGGUAAGAGCCUACCAAGGCGACGAUCAGUAGCUGGUCUGAGAGGAUGAUCAGCCACACUGGGACUGAGACACGGCCCAGACUCCUACGGGAGGCAGCAGUGGGGAAUUUUCCGCAAUGGGCGAAAGCCUGACGGAGCAACGCCGCGUGAGGGAUGAAGGCCUCUGGGCUGUAAACCUCUUUUCUCAAGGAAGAAGACCUGACGGUACUUGAGGAAUAAGCCACGGCUAAUUCCGUGCCAGCAGCCGCGGUAAUACGGGAGUGGCAAGCGUUAUCCGGAAUUAUUGGGCGUAAAGCGUCCGCAGGUGGCCCUGUAAGUCUGUCGUUAAAGCGUGGAGCUUAACUCCAUUUAAGCGAUGGAAACUACAGGGCUAGAGUGUGGUAGGGGCAGAGGGAAUUCCCGGUGUAGCGUUGAAAUGCGUAGAUAUCGGGAAGAACACCAGUGGCGAAGGCGCUCUGCUGGGCCGUCACUGACACUCAUGGACGAAAGCCAGGGGAGCGAAAGGGAUUAGAUACCCCUGUAGUCCUGGCCGUAAACGAUGAACACUAGGUGUCGGGGGAAUCGACCCCCUCGGUGUCGUAGCCAACGCGUUAAGUGUUCCGCCUGGGGAGUACGCACGCAAGUGUGAAACUCAAAGGAAUUGACGGGGGCCCGCACAAGCGGUGGAGUAUGUGGUUUAAUUCGAUGCAACGCGAAGAACCUUACCAGGGUUUGACAUCCUGCGAAUCCCUUGGAAACGAGGGAGUGCCUUCGGGAGCGCAGAGACAGGUGGUGCAUGGCUAUCGUCAGCUCGUGUCGUGAGAUGUUGGGUUAAGUCCCGCAACGAGCGCGACCCACGUCGUUAGUUGCCAGCAUUCAGUUGGGCACUCUAGCGAGACCGCCGGUGAUAAACCGGAGGAAGGUGUGGAUGACGUCAAGUCAUCAUGCCCCUUACAUCCUGGGCUACACACGUACUACAAUGCUACGGACAAAGGGCAGCGAUCCCGCGAGGGCUAGCAAAUCCCAUAAACCGUGGCUCAGUUCAGAUCGUAGGCUGCAACUCGCCUACGUGAAGGAGGAAUCGCUAGUAAUCGCAGGUCAGCAUACUGCGGUGAAUACGUUCCCGGGCCUUGUACACACCGCCCGUCACACCAUGGAAGUUGGCCACGCCCGAAGUCGUUACUCCAACCCUUGUGGAGGAGGACGCCGAAGGUGGGGCUGAUGACUGGGGUGAAGUCGGAACAAGGUAGCCGUACCGGAAGGUGCGGCUG
RNAcentral lists this ribosomal RNA (1465 nucleotides) under metagenome. RNAcentral describes it as "bacterial SSU rRNA". It matches the Rfam family "Bacterial small subunit ribosomal RNA". The record is from RNAcentral.